CCCCAGUACGUAGUGGUGAAGGAAAUGGGGUACCUCGUGCUAGGGAUUCUGUGAUUAUCUUCUGCUAGGGAUUGUUUAUUAGAUGCAAAUCUCUCACCGUAUUCACUGAAUUCCCUUCCUUCAUGGCAACGCAAAAUUGACUUUACUUCCAUUUGACUGCACUGCAUCCAUGAUAUCAUCUCUUCUGUUUGUUACUGUCGCCUGGAGUAGAGUAGAUGCAGCAUAUUAUCCAGCGGCAGGACCAGGGCAGGUAGUGAUGAAUCUAUGUACCCUUUCCUUUGUAUAAGCAACACCUCACCUGUUUGUAUAAGCAGGACCAGGACCAGGGCAGGUCUGUCUACCACUAUGCUGCUGGCUGCUAAGGUUUGGCUUCUACCAAGCAGGCCGGUGAUUUUCUUUCUUUCUUUCUAAUAAAACCCUGAACCAGAGCUCAAGAAAAUAUGCCCCAUGGUCACAGCCAUGAAGCGACAGUCUGUAUGCUCUUAACUGUACGCUGUUUGCAGUCACCAUCUUCUCUUCUGCGAUACACUCCUCAACCACUCGGUCCUGGAUACUUAUUCACCUUGUGUUUUGUUUUCAAACUCAAGCACUUGGCAGCAGCUAAAGUUCAGAUAUAUUGCGGCUAUCACCGGUUCAUGCAUUUUUGGUGGACAAUCUUCAGUUGAACCUGAGUGUUGACUCGCUCUUCCGUUGCCAACGAUGUCCGGCUUGCUCAAUUCAAAUCUUAACACUUCCACAUCGAACCUUCCAGACUCAUCCGGACGGCCAUUCACAACAUCCUUUUCUGGCCAAUCUGGAUCAGUUCAAGGUUUCCAUCACUCUGGUCUGCACAACAUUCAUGGAAAUUACAGUCUUCCAAAUAUGCCCGGAUCACUUGCACAAAGGAAUGCUGCGAUGAGUGGCCUUCCAUCCUCCGGUGUUCAACAGCCUGGAGGGAGCAUUUCUGGGAGAUUUGCUUCAAACAACCUCCCUGUUGCCAUGUCUCAGAUUCCUCAUGCACAUUCAGGUGUCAGUGGUAGAGGAAUGAAUGUUGGUGGAGGUCAAGCAUUCAGCAGUGGAAUGAACAUGGGUGGGACCAUUCAAGGUUUGUCCUCAAACUUGGGCACCAGUGGUAAUCGAAAUUCUGUUCCUGGCAAUCCAGCUUUAGGAAACCUGGGUCCACGUAUUACAAGCUCCGCGGGAAACAUUGUGGGUGGAAGUAACAUUGGAAGAAAUAUAAGCUCUGGUGGAUUGUCGGUGCCGAGUAUCUCAUCACGCAUCGAUUUUAGUGGCAAUGCUGCAAGUGGAAGACUAAAUGUGCAAGGAUCCAACAGGAUGAUGAAUGGCCUUAUUCCGCAAGGAUCGUCGCAACUGAUGAAUAUGAUUGGAAGUUCAUACCCAACGUCUGGUGCUUCAUUGUCCCAGAACCAAAUGCAACCAGGAAAUAGUUCUCUGGGUUCUAUGGGGAUGCUACAUGACGCCAGUGACAGCGCUCCAUUCGACAUCAAUGAUUUCCCCCAAUUGACUGGUCGACCUAAUUCAGCUGGUGGUCCACAGGGACAAUAUGGACCACUACGGAAGCAAGGAGUUGGUGUUAACUCCAUUGUUCAACAAAACCAGGAGUUCAGUAUUCAGAACGAAGAUUUCCCCGCUUUGCCAGGAUUUAAAGGUGGCAGUUCAGAUUAUCCUAUGGAGUUACAUCACAAGGAACAACUUCACGAGAAUGUACCUGUAAUGCAAGCACAGCAAUAUCCUGUGUCAAGGUCAGUUGGGUUUAAUUUGGGAAGUAGCUAUCAACCAAAUCGUCAGCAACAUCAGCAGGGUGCUGCUAAUUCAAUUCAGAGCGGUGGGCCCCAAAAUAUUGGACUAAGACCACUAAACUCUCAGAGUCAAACCUCUAGUCUGGGAUCAUACGAGCAACUGCUCCAGCAAUACCAGCAGCCGCAGACUCAGAGUCCUUUCAGGUUGCAGCAGAUGUCUUCUUCAGCUGCACAGACAUAUGCGGAUCAUGGUCUAAAGCCCAUUCUGGGAGGCCGAACCCCACCUGAUCCAUACGGCUUGUUAGGAUUGCUGGGAGUUAUAAGGAUGAAUGAUCCUGAUUUGUCAUCUCUUGCUUUGGGAAUAGAUUUGACAACCUUGGGUUUGAAUUUGAAUUCACCAGACAAUCUGUACAAGACAUUUGGCUCUCCAUUUUCAAAUGAACCAGCAAAAGGAGAACCCGAAUAUACUACUCCAGCUUGUUAUGUGGCUGAGCAACCCCCAGCACUACAGCCUAUGCAUUUUCAGAAGUUUCAGACACUCAUACUGUUAUACAUAUUCUACAGCAUGCCGAAGGAUGAAGCUCAAAUAUGUGCUGCCAAUGAACUAUAUAAUCGUGGAUGGUAUUACCAUAAAGAAGCACGGCAAUGGUUCACAAGAAUUACUAACAUGGAGCCUCUUGUCAAAACUCCUACAUAUGAACGGGGGUCUUAUGCCUUCUUUGAUCAAGGCAAUUGGGAGACAGUCCGUAAGGAUAACUUUGUUCUCCAUUAUGAGCUAGUAGAGAAAAGGCCAAGUCUCCCUUCCGUAUCCCAAAUUGUUAGGUGAAAAUUUUCUGGGUACCUCCUGACUCUAGCUUUCUUGUACAUGAAUAGGGAGCUUUCUUUACAAACAUAGUGAAGCGACAUUGCCCUAAUUUGUCAAGCAGGCCAGGCUAUAUAUAUAGUGAAUGAAUGAGGAAGUAUCUUGUGUCAGUCAUGUCGAUAUGCGGAGAGGAGGAGGAGGAGGAGGCUAGAGCAGGAAGUGAAAAAAGGUGGUGUUUGUAAUUAUAGUUGUUGGGAGGAGGAAAAUUGAAGGAAGGAUGGAUGGAUGGUAGCGUUGGCCGUUAAACUUUACAUUUACAUUUACAUUUACAUUUACAUAGCUGCUGCUUCUUCUUUUACAUGUAUGUGUGUCUCCUACAGUGCUCCUUUACAAAAACAGUUUAGGAGUAGUCGGCCGUGUGCAUUGGCAUUGGCAUUGGCAUUGGCAUUGCAUGGAUGGUUUAUAUUUAAACUCAAAUCAACCAAACCAAACAAAAGAAAACAAUUGGAGA
RNA transcript from Triticum aestivum (bread wheat), 3052 nucleotides. It is a transcript of the gene named probable NOT transcription complex subunit VIP2, with no coding region annotated. The record is from RefSeq and is a predicted model, not a curated record. NCBI's taxonomy places the organism in Eukaryota, Viridiplantae, Streptophyta, Magnoliopsida, Poales, Poaceae. The transcript has 16 exons.